RNAcentral lists this ribosomal RNA (1456 nucleotides) under uncultured organism. RNAcentral's name for it is "16S ribosomal RNA". It matches the Rfam family "Bacterial small subunit ribosomal RNA". The record is from RNAcentral.
CGGCAGGCCUAACACAUGCAAGUCGAACGGUAACAGGAAGAAGCUUGCUUCUUUGCUGACGAGUGGCGGACGGGUGAGUAAUGUCUGGGAAACUGCCUGAUGGAGGGGGAUAACUACUGGAAACGGUAGCUAAUACCGCAUAACGUCGCAAGACCAAAGAGGGGGACCUUCGGGCCUCUUGCCAUCGGAUGUGCCCAGAUGGGAUUAGCUUGUUGGUGGGGUAACGGCUCACCAAGGCGACGAUCCCUAGCUGGUCUGAGAGGAUGACCAGCCACACUGGAACUGAGACACGGUCCAGACUCCUACGGGAGGCAGCAGUGGGGAAUAUUGCACAAUGGGCGCAAGCCUGAUGCAGCCAUGCCGCGUGUAUGAAGAAGGCCUUCGGGUUGUAAAGUACUUUCAGCGGGGAGGAAGGGAGUAAAGUUAAUACCUUUGCUCAUUGACGUUACCCGCAGAAGAAGCACCGGCUAACUCCGUGCCAGCAGCCGCGGUAAUACGGAGGGUGCAAGCGUUAAUCGGAAUUACUGGGCGUAAAGCGCACGCAGGCGGUUUGUUAAGUCAGAUGUGAAAUCCCCGGGCUCAACCUGGGAACUGCAUCUGAUACUGGCAAGCUUGAGUCUCGUAGAGGGGGGUAGAAUUCCAGGUGUAGCGGUGAAAUGCGUAGAGAUCUGGAGGAAUACCGGUGGCGAAGGCGGCCCCCUGGACGAAGACUGACGCUCAGGUGCGAAAGCGUGGGGAGCAAACAGGAUUAGAUACCCUGGUAGUCCACGCCGUAAACGAUGUCGACUUGGAGGUUGUGCCCUUGAGGCGUGGCUUCCGGAGCUAACGCGUUAAGUCGACCGCCUGGGGAGUACGGCCGCAAGGUUAAAACUCAAAUGAAUUGACGGGGGCCCGCACAAGCGGUGGAGCAUGUGGUUUAAUUCGAUGCAACGCGAAGAACCUUACCUGGUCUUGACAUCCACAGAACUUUCCAGAGAUGGAUUGGUGCCUUCGGGAACUGUGAGACAGGUGCUGCAUGGCUGUCGUCAGCUCGUGUUGUGAAAUGUUGGGUUAAGUCCCGCAACGAGCGCAACCCUUAUCCUUUGUUGCCAGCGGUCCGGCCGGGAACUCAAAGGAGACUGCCAGUGAUAAACUGGAGGAAGGUGGGGAUGACGCCAAGUCAUCAUGGCCCUUACGACCAGGGCUACACACGUGCUACAAUGGCGCAUACAAAGAGAAGCGACCUCGCGAGAGCAAGCGGACCUCAUAAAGUGCGUCGUAGUCCGGAUUGGAGUCUGCAACUCGACUCCAUGAAGUCGGAAUCGCUAGUAAUCGUGGAUCAGAAUGCCACGGUGAAUACGUUCCCGGGCCUUGUACACACCGCCCGUCACACCAUGGGAGUGGGUUGCAAAAGAAGUAGGUAGCUUAACCUUCGGGAGGGCGCUUACCACUUUGUGAUUCAUGACUGGGGUGAAGU